RNAcentral lists this long non-coding RNA (1932 nucleotides) under Homo sapiens (human). RNAcentral's name for it is "non-protein coding lnc-PPIC-1:3". Lineage: Eukaryota; Metazoa; Chordata; Mammalia; Primates; Hominidae. The record is from RNAcentral.
GCGGCGGCGGCUGAAGAGGCUGCGGCGCGCUCAGGAGACCCGCGGCGCCGCUGCCCUUGAGCGGGCCUGCGCCUCCGUGAGGGAAGAGUUGCUGCCAGUGCUGCAGUUUUCUGAACCUGGGAAACGUGCUGUUCAGACUUCAUCCGGGUCUCAUUCAGGAUGCUUCGAUGUUGGUUGGAAGAGAGUUAGACCGAAAAUGUUUUGACUGGCGUCGUUAUGACAAGGUCAUCCGUCAUUGUUGGAUAGAUUGAUAGCACCCAAGUUUAAGGCAGACACCACGAGGGAAAGCCCACGGCGCUGUGGUCCCGGAGGCUAACCAGGCAGUGUCCGCAGACCUCCAGCAACUCCAUCGGGAGGAGAGGAUGAAGUUCCAGGCCCGUUUCAAUUAAUCUGCUCGCAGAACUGCCGAAGAGUGGCUUGUCGGGCCACGGGAGAAGAAACAAAUGCUCUUUCUCACACUCUCCUGGUUCAUUGCUGAGAAACCAGGACACUCCUCUGUUCCCUGGGAGAGACAGUGAACUCCAGGGAUGGAAGUCCGGACUCCGGCGGCGGUCCCGUCAUUUGCCUUCUUGUUUCUGCCCAAACCCAGCUAGUUCCAAGCGCUUGGUCCCCAAGACUGGAAGUCCCCAAGAACCUACCUCUACCUGUCCCAACCCUGCCUCCCCCCUACCCUUUCACCCCCUGCCACCAUUAGAAAGUCUCUGGAUUUUGAAAUGCUAGUUGCAGCAGCUGCUUCCGUGGCCUCAUGCCGCCCACACUCUGGGAAGCGGAGGAGGGAGGGUUCCUCUCGUAAUAAGAUUAGCUGACCUGUUAAUGAGAGUUUUGGACGUGCCGGGCGGGGGUAGGCGCUUUAUGUCCAUUUAAUCCACCUACAUGCGGAGAAGGCAUUAUCAUUAACCCCCAUAUUGUAGAUGGGGACCGCUGAGGUUCGGAAAGUUUAGAUGGGUUGCCUAAGGUCACGCCAUUAAUGAGUAAUGGAGACGGAUUCAAAUACCGUUCGGUAAGGUGCCAAGUGCAUCUUCUGCCUACCCUAGUCCAACCUGUAGCCACUCGGUCCAGACUGACGCCAGAGGGGCUAUCAUGGGAGAGAUUUGGUUCCCCUCGCUGCGGGGUCCAGGGAAGAAGCUGAGAAGGUAGCAAAGUCCCCCUCGCCCACUACGUCUACAGGUGGCGUACCUGGGUAAUCCGAUUCAAGCUUCCGCCACACCCACCCCGGGCACAAGUCGAUCCCGAGGCUUACGGGACCCUAAGGCCCAGAGGCUACAGGAACCUCCCGUGAAGGGGGCAGGAGAAAGUUUGAGGGAGAGCCCUGAAGGUCCGGGAGCGAACGAAAAAGUCUGGAAGGGAAUAGACCAGGAGUCAGGACCUCCCCUGCACCUCCCCAGCAGGCCCACUGCGCCGAGCGGGGCCCCUGCCUCCACCGCGGCUUCCGGGAUGCCCGCAGAGCUCGGCAUCCUCACCCGGUGCGCACAAGGGCGCGCAGCGGCGUAAGCUGGACCCCCGACGCUGCGCGCGCUCUGAGGGGCGCUUCCCCCUCACACAGUUGACCCUGGGCCCGCUUGGUCACGGCCACCCUGGCGCAUCUCAAUAGUUUUUAGAAAGUGAGCCCACCGACGGCAAGGACAUGCACCCCCUCAAAUCCGCUUCCCCCACCCCCUUCAAUACUGAGAAGACCACGGAAACAAAUCACUUCGACCACUUAGAAAGCGAUCAAACCUUUAUAAAAAUCCAUCGCUCCCAAAUCGAUGGGUGAAUAUUUGCUGGGAAUUUGUUCCAGAGGAAUAAAUGAGGAGCCUUGAGUGUAUUAAAUGCAAACGGGGGGACACGGUGGUGUUUUUCUUCAUUGAUUAAUGACCUCUAAAAUAAAACAAGUGGGAAGAGGAGCCAGGAUCGAUAAAUUACCCAAAUUCAUCAUUUUCUCGAGCAUUUUCG